UGCUGGCAACGUGCAAGAGAUGGU
Molecule: non-coding RNA, 24 nt
Filed under: Rattus norvegicus (Norway rat)
Lineage: Eukaryota; Metazoa; Chordata; Mammalia; Rodentia; Muridae
Source: RNAcentral